Molecule: long non-coding RNA, 214 nt
Filed under: Elaeis guineensis (African oil palm)
Lineage: Eukaryota; Viridiplantae; Streptophyta; Magnoliopsida; Arecales; Arecaceae
Description: long non-coding RNA (EGUI_LNC063687)
Source: RNAcentral
UGUAGAAAAUCGGCUGAUAGUAAAGCCCAGAGAGCAUUUAGAGCAGUCCGAUAGAUGACUGAAGGAGCUCAUUAUUGAAGAAAUUCAGAGGGUACGGUAGGAGUUCAUCCGUUGGAGGAAUCUGAAGGACAUUAUGGAAGGUCGACUACUGGAGGAGUCCGGAUGGUACUGUGGAAGAUCGGAUGGCCGGGAGAGUUCAGAAAGAUGCCGCACA